RNAcentral lists this ribosomal RNA (592 nucleotides) under uncultured soil bacterium. RNAcentral describes it as "bacterial SSU rRNA". It matches the Rfam family "Bacterial small subunit ribosomal RNA", at positions 28 to 600 of the family's 1533-position model. The record is from RNAcentral.
AAUCAACUGCUGGCGGCGUGCCUAACACAUGCAAGUCGAACGCGAAAACCCCGCAAGGGGUUAGUAGAGUGGCGAACGGGUGAGUAACACGUGGGUGACCUACCUUCGAAUGGGGGAUAACGUCCCGAAAGGGACGCUAAUACCGCAUAACAUCCUGCUUUUGAACAGGUGGAGAUCAAAGCCGGGGCUCGCAAGACCCGGCGUUUNAAGAGGGGCCCGCGUCUGAUUAGCUAGUUGGUGAGGUAACGGCUCACCAAGGCGACGAUCAGUAUCCGGCCUGAGAGGGCGGACGGACACACUGGGACUGAGACACGGCCCAGACUCCUACGGGAGGCAGCAGUGGGGAAUUGUUCGCAAUGGGCGCAAGCCUGACGACGCAACGCCGCGUGGAGGAUGAAGGUCUUCGGAUUGUAAACUCCUGUUGCUCGGGACGAAAAGCUUCGACCUAACACGUCGAGGUCUGACGGUACCGGGUGAGGAAGCCCCGGCUAACUCUGUGCCAGCAGCCGCGGUAAUACAGAGGGGGCAAGCGUUGUUCGGAAUUACUGGGCGUAAAGGGCGCGUAGGCGGCCUUCUAAGUCGAACGUGAAAU